RNAcentral lists this ribosomal RNA (39 nucleotides) under Rhizoctonia solani. RNAcentral describes it as "partial 28S ribosomal RNA". Lineage: Eukaryota; Fungi; Basidiomycota; Agaricomycetes; Cantharellales; Ceratobasidiaceae. The record is from RNAcentral.
CUACCCGCUGAACUUAAGCAUAUCAAUAAGCGGAGGGAA